Pelobates cultripes (western spadefoot toad) is the source of this 283-nucleotide non-coding RNA. The record is from the annotation of a GenBank genome assembly. Lineage: Eukaryota; Metazoa; Chordata; Amphibia; Anura; Pelobatidae.
UAAAAAUAUCACAUCUUAAUUAAUACAACUUCAUUCUGUCUGGCCUCCCCCUCUGCUAACUAUACUAUUUUCUAUCCAUUAUGAAAUUCUUUGCUAGACAUUGUACCUCACUGAACAUUUUGUUUCCCACUCUGUCAGCCUCUCGUUUGGCUCCCUAUUAGUUCCAGAAUUAUAUUUGAAGGCCUAAACCGUGCCUCCAAGCUCUCAAGAACAUUUCACCCUCUAUACGUUUCUUCUAUUAUCCCAAAAUACUCUCCAAAUUACCCUCUUGGUUCUGACCAGG